GAUUAACGCUGGCGGCGUGCAUAACACAUGCAAGUCGAACGAUGAAACUUAAAUGAUUUCUUCGGAAUGAACUUAAGUGGAUUAGUGGCGGCCGGGUGAGUAACGCGUGAGUAACCUGCCUUACACAAGGGGAUAGCCGUUGGAAACGACGAAUAAUACCCUAUGAAACUAUCACUUCGCAUGAAGCGAUAGUCAAAGUGUUAGCGGUGUAAGAUGGACUUGCGUCUGAUUAGCUAGUUGGUGAGAAAAAAGCCCACCAAGGCAACGAUCAGUAGCCGGCUUGAGAGAGUGUACGGCCACAUUGGGACUGAGACACGGCCCAGACUCCUACGGGAGGCAGCAGUGGGGAAUUUUGCACAAUGGGGGAAACCCUGAUGCAGCGACGCCGCGUGAUUUAGAAGGCCUUCGGGUUGUAAAAAUCUUUUGUAUAGGAAGAAAAUGACAGUACUAUACGAAUAAGGUCCGGCUAAUUACGUG
This 477-nucleotide ribosomal RNA is filed under the name uncultured bacterium. RNAcentral's name for it is "partial 16S ribosomal RNA". It matches the Rfam family "Bacterial small subunit ribosomal RNA", at positions 28 to 507 of the family's 1533-position model. The record is from RNAcentral.